CUCUGGAGAGGCUUUUAUUGUGUUUGGUCUGGAGGAGAUCUUCAGAAACUGAAAAAGGAUAAAGAAGAUACAGAGUGAGACAGAUGAUGGAGAAUGAUCUGAACAGAAAGUGAGAAUCAGCAGAUCAUUAAACAAACUGGUGAAGUCAGACCAACAGAAAGAUUAACAGAAGGAAGAACGUCUGCAACACCUCAGAAAGCCUCCUUGGAAGAGAUGCUGACUGCUGGCCCCCUUUGCACCAUCUCUAUGGGAUUGGUACCUUUCACAUUGAAACCGAUACAGUACCGAUGCCUGGUAUCUGGGAAUCGAUGCCGGCACUCAAUGACGACAAGUCGCUUACGGAUGCAGGUGUGCUAACGGUGCCGAAUGCAGGAGCUGUGG
Girardinichthys multiradiatus is the source of this 381-nucleotide long non-coding RNA. RefSeq lists it as uncharacterized. The record is from RefSeq and is a predicted model, not a curated record. NCBI's taxonomy places the organism in Eukaryota, Metazoa, Chordata, Actinopteri, Cyprinodontiformes, Goodeidae. The transcript has 3 exons.